CGCCGUACCGCAAACCGACACUGGUGCGCGAGAUGAGUAUUCUAAGGCGCUUGAGAGAACUCAGGAGAAGGAACUCGGCAAAUUGACACCGUAACUUCGGAAGAAGGUGUGCCCUAUUAGUGUGUAGUGAACAACGAAGCAUGAAUGGGUUGCAAAAAAUCGGUGGCUGCGACUGUUUAUUAAAAACACAGCACUCUGCAAACACGAAAGUGGACGUAUAGGGUGUGACGCCUGCCCGGUGCUGGAAGAUUAAAUGAUGGGGUGCAAGCUCUUGAUUGAAGUCCCAGUAAACGGCGGCCGUAACGAUAACGGUCCUAAGGUAGCGAAAUUCCUUGUCGGGUAAGUUCCGACCUGCACGAAUGGCGUAACGAUGGCCACACUGUCUCCUCCUGAGACUCAGCGAAGUUGAAAUGUUUGUGAUGAUGCAAUCGCCCCGCGGAAAGACGGAAAGACCCCAUGAACCUUUACUGUAGCUUUGUAUUGGACUUUGAACAGAUCUGUGUAGGAUAGGUGGGAGGCUUUGAAGCAGGGUCGCUAGAUCUUGUGGAGCCAACGUUGAAAUACCACCCUGGUGUGUUUGAGGUUCUAACCUAGGUCCAUUAUCUGGAUCGGGGACAGUGCAUGGUAGGCAGUUUGACUGGGGCGGUCUCCUCCCAAAGCGUAACGGAGGAGUUCGAAGGUACGCUAGUUACGGUCGGACAUCGUGACGAUAGUGCAAUGGCAUAAGCGUGCUUAACUGCGAGACUGACAAGUCGAGCAGAUGCGAAAGCAGGACAUAGUGAUCCGGUGGUUCUGUAUGGAAGGGCCAUCGCUCAACGGAUAAAAGGUACUCUGGGGAUAACAGGCUGAUACCGCCCAAGAGUUCAUAUCGACGGCGGUGUUUGGCACCUCGAUGUCGGCUCAUCUCAUCCUGGGGCUGUAGCCGGUCCCAAGGGUAUGGCUGUUCGCCAUUUAAAGAGGUACGUGAGCUGGGUUUAAAACGUCGUGAGACAGUUUGGUCCCUAUCUUCCGUGGGCGCUGCAGAUUUGAGGAAGCCUGCUCCUAGUACGAGAGGACCGGAGUGGACACACCUCUGGUGUAUCGGUUGUCACGCCAGUGGCAUUGCCGAGUAGCUAAGUGUGGAAGAGAUAACCGCUGAAAGCAUCUAAGCGGGAAACUCGUUUCAAGAUGAGAUCUGCCGGGGCCUUGAGCCCCCUAAAGAGUCGUUCAAGACCAGGACGUUGAUAGGUCAGGUGUGGAAGCG
RNAcentral lists this ribosomal RNA (1243 nucleotides) under metagenome. RNAcentral describes it as "bacterial LSU rRNA". It matches the Rfam family "Bacterial large subunit ribosomal RNA", at positions 1640 to 2875 of the family's 2925-position model. The record is from RNAcentral.